This is a non-coding RNA of Odocoileus virginianus texanus, 1531 nucleotides long. The record is from RefSeq and is a predicted model, not a curated record. NCBI's taxonomy places the organism in Eukaryota, Metazoa, Chordata, Mammalia, Artiodactyla, Cervidae.
CUUAACCACUGGACCACCAGAGAAGUCCCAUCAAUCUGCUUUUCUAGAUUAAAUCUAGAAAUGGUAGAAUUUGUGCAAAUAGAAAACAAAACACCAAGGAAGAGUGAGUGCAAGUGAAGGAACAUACACAAGUACAGAAGGAACUUGGAGAACCGUCAGAAGCAGCAGCCCAUGAAUUCACCUGAGAAGGGCCAAGUCCUCCUGCAAAUCAGCUGAGGAAUGAGAUGCCACUGGAUUUAGAUGAGGAGCUCCUCGGAGACAGAGACUCACUCCCUGCUUGUCCAGGACCAGUUUAUCAACACAAAAUUAAUUUUCUCUACACCUGUUCAUUUCAUGGGGGGACUAAGAAGAUAAUCUCUGUAGACUUCCAAAGGGAACUCUGCCUUCAUCAUUCCACAUGACCCUGAUGGCUGUGCCCUCCUUAGCCAGUGAGAGAACCCAUGACUCCUGGUAAUUUAAAAAUAAAUAGUUCUGCAAGUGAACCAAUAGAAAUAUUUCACUGUCAUUGAACAGAAAGCUAAAAGCCUAAUUACUGUAUGUAUUGAACGUUCUUCUGUGGUAGUAAUUUCUUCACUCUUUCAAUAGCUUUAUUUUCUUUAUUUAAUAUCCACAAUUUUUCCCUUUAUAUGGUGGCCUUUUUUUUUUUUUUCCUCCAUUUUGUGGAAGAAAGUGGUACUCUGUUAUACAAAUAUGCUCCCUAUUUCCUUUGAAACUGUGUUCAGUCAGUCCCCGCAGAAAGAAUAGGUAAUGAAAUUCUAUCUCUCAAGUGUAUGUAGACAUAUCAAUCACUUUAAGUGGAAACAAUCGUUCCUCUGCCAUUUAGAGCCAACAUCUUUGAACACAGAAGCAGUACUAUUGCUUUCUGUUACUAUUUUUAGUUUUUCCAUAGCAUGCUUUGGUUUACAUUCCAUCCACAUGCUGCCGAGGUCAAGAAAAGCAGAUUUCCUGAUAACAUUUGAUUUGAGCAAAGGGAGUGAUAAAAGGUGCGCUCUGUAAUCUGGGUUUGGAGCCGACUGAAGAUGUGGACCCCAGAGGAGGUGGUCCAGGAGCCCUGUGCCCCUGUCACCCCACAACCAUCCCCAGACCUCUGCACAGGCUUGGUCAGCAAGCGCAAAGAGUUGUAGCUCUUUAUUAUGCCUUGGACACCCAGCCCUACCUACUCUAACUUCUGCUUCACAAUCCAGCAUUUUUUUUCUCCCUCCUAUGUGAGCAAAAUUUGCACUGCCACCUUUUUCCUUAAGAAUCAUCAUACAUGUUAAGCUUUUGUCUUGGUCUCAGUAUUUUAGGAAGCUGACACCAGAAGACACAGAAGAUAAGGCUAUUCGACCUCUUUUAUUGCACCUCUUCGAUCCUUCGUGCCUGCUCUCCCCACCGUAGACUUUAAAACCCACGCGUGUUUGAAAUGCUGCUGGCUAAAAGCAUGGUGCUGAUGAACGGGAGUCAUAUCAUGUUAGCCCAAGGCCCUCUAGUUACUGUGAGGCGCUGCUGUCUCUACCCAAGGCACUGUUACUGUGAAGUGAAGAGUCUCUCG